GUUCCGUAGGUGAACCUGCGGAAGGAUCAUUACAGAGUUCAUGCCCUCACGGGUAGAUCUCCCACCCUUGAAUAUUUAUACCUUAGUUGCUUUGGCAGGCCGUGGAAACACCAUGGGCUCCGGCUUAUGCGUGCCUGCCAGAGGAAACAAACUCUGUUUUUAGUGAUGUCUGAGUACUAUAUAAUAGUUAAAACUUUCAACAACGGAUCUCUUGGUUCUG
This 220-nucleotide unclassified non-coding RNA is filed under the name plant metagenome. Its description in RNAcentral is "partial contains small subunit ribosomal RNA, internal transcribed spacer 1, and 5.8S ribosomal RNA". The record is from RNAcentral.